CCUCGAUGUAUAUAUCAUCCACUAGUUUCUUGCUCAGUGGGAUUAUCACAGGAUCCUUUAUAUAUAUAUCACUCAACAACGCGCUGUUUCACAAAAUCACAAUACAUUGACUAAGACGUCUCUUAAUCAAUAUUUCAUCAUUUAUUUUCAAAUGUACAUCUAUGAUUUAUUAUCAUAGGCUUACUUAGAUAAAUUCUAAGCAACAACA
RNAcentral lists this long non-coding RNA (208 nucleotides) under Trifolium pratense (red clover). RNAcentral's name for it is "long non-coding RNA (TPRA_LNC002208)". The record is from RNAcentral. Lineage: Eukaryota; Viridiplantae; Streptophyta; Magnoliopsida; Fabales; Fabaceae.